Molecule: ribosomal RNA, 470 nt
Filed under: Selenomonas sp. oral taxon E83
Lineage: Bacteria; Bacillati; Bacillota; Negativicutes; Selenomonadales; Selenomonadaceae
Description: bacterial SSU rRNA
Rfam family: Bacterial small subunit ribosomal RNA
Source: RNAcentral
GACGAACGCUGGCGGCGUGCUUAACACAUGCAAGUCGAACGGAGCGAAUGAAAGCUUGCUUUUAUGAGCUUAGUGGCAAACGGGUGAGUAACACGUAGACAACCUGCCGAUAGGAUGGGGACAACAUUCCGAAAGGAAUGCUAAUACCGAAUGGCGUGUAGGGGAGGCAUCUCCCCUAUAUGAAAGAUGGCCUCUAUAUAUAAGCUAUCACCUAUCGAUGGGUCUGCGUCUGAUUAGCUGGUAGGUAAGGUAACGGCUUACCUAGGCGACGAUCAGUAGCCGGUCUGAGAGGAUGAACGGCCACAUUGGGACUGAGACACGGCCCAGACUCCUACGGGAGGCAGCAGUGGGGAAUCUUCCGCAAUGGGCGCAAGCCUGACGGAGCAACGCCGCGUGAGUGAAGAAGGUCUUCGGAUCGUAAAGCUCUGUUGAAGGGGACGAACGUACAUAGUGCGAAUAGUGCUGUGUAA